RNAcentral lists this ribosomal RNA (449 nucleotides) under uncultured bacterium. RNAcentral's name for it is "bacterial SSU rRNA". It matches the Rfam family "Bacterial small subunit ribosomal RNA", at positions 328 to 793 of the family's 1533-position model. The record is from RNAcentral.
CCUCCAGACUCCUACGGGAGGCAGCAGUGGGGAAUAUUGCACAAUGGGGGAAACCCUGAUGCAGCGACGCCGCGUGGGCGAGGAAGUACCUCGGUAUGUAAAGCCCUAUCAGCAGGGAAGAAACGGGACAGUACCUGACUAAGAAGCCCCGGCUAACUACGUGCCAGCAGCCGCGGUAAUACGUAGGGGGCAAGCGUUAUCCGGAUUCACUGGGCGUAAAGGGAGCGCAGGCGGCAUGGCAAGUCUGAUGUGAAAACCCGGGGCCCAACCCCGGGAGUGCAUUGGAAACUGCCAGGCUGGAGUGUCGGAGGGGUAAGCGGAAUUCCUGGUGUAGCGGUGAAAUGCGUAGAUAUCAGGAGGAACACCGGCGGCGAAGGCGGCCCGCUGGACCGUGACUGACGUUGAGGCUCGAGAGCGUGGGGAGCAAACAGGAUUAGAUACCCCCGUAA